Molecule: non-coding RNA, 18 nt
Filed under: Arabidopsis thaliana (thale cress)
Lineage: Eukaryota; Viridiplantae; Streptophyta; Magnoliopsida; Brassicales; Brassicaceae
Source: RNAcentral
AACUAUGCCUGAGCGGGG